CAUCCUACGGGGGGCAGCAGUGGGGAAUAUUGGGCAAUGGGCGCAAGCCUGACCCAGCAACGCCGCGCGAAGGAAGAAAGCUUUCGGGUUGUAAACUUCUUUUCUCAGGGACGAAGCAAGUGACGGUACCUGAGGAAUAAGCCACGGCUAACUACGUGCCAGCAGCCGCGGUAAUACGUAGGUGGCAAGCGUUAUCCGGAUUUACUGGGUGUAAAGGGCGUGUAGGCGGGAAAGCAAGUCAGAUGUGAAAACCAUGGGCUCAACCUGUGGCCUGCCUUUGACACUGUUUUUUGU
This 294-nucleotide ribosomal RNA is filed under the name uncultured bacterium. RNAcentral's name for it is "partial 16S ribosomal RNA". It matches the Rfam family "Bacterial small subunit ribosomal RNA", at positions 335 to 643 of the family's 1533-position model. The record is from RNAcentral.